This 549-nucleotide ribosomal RNA is filed under the name uncultured bacterium. RNAcentral's name for it is "bacterial SSU rRNA". It matches the Rfam family "Bacterial small subunit ribosomal RNA", at positions 356 to 896 of the family's 1533-position model. The record is from RNAcentral.
AGGGAAUCUUCGGCAAUGGGGGCAACCCUGACCGAGCAACGCCGCGUGAGUGAAGAAGGUUUUCGGAUCGUAAAGCUCUGUUGUAAGAGAAGAACGAGUGUGAGAGUGGAAAGUUCACGCUGUGACGGUAUCUUACCAGAAAGGGACGGCUAACUACGUGCCAGCAGCCGCGGUAAUACGUAGGUCCCGAGCGUUAUCCGGAUUUAUUGGGCGUAAAGCGAGCGCAGGCGGUUAGAUAAGUCUGAAGUUAAAGGCUGUGGCUUAACCAUAGUACGCUUUGGAAACUGUUUAACUUGAGUGCAAGAGGGGAGAGUGGAAUUCCAUGUGUAGCGGUGAAAUGCGUAGAUAUAUGGAGGAACACCGGUGGCGAAAGCGGCUCUCUGGCUUGUAACUGACGCUGAGGCUCGAAAGCGUGGGGAGCAAACAGGAUUAGAUACCCUGGUAGUCCACGCCGUAAACGAUGAGUGCUAGGUGUUAGACCCUUUCCGGGGUUUAGUGCCGCAGCUAACGCAUUAAGCACUCCGCCUGGGGAGUACGACCGCAAGGUUG